UUUUGUGCUUGCACAAAAUGAUUAAGUGGCGAACGGGUGAGUAACACGUGAGUAACCUGCCCUUAACUUCGGGAUAAGCCUGGGAAACCGGGUCUAAUACCGGAUACGACGUAUCCCCGCAUGGGGGUUCGUGGAAAGCUUUAUGCGGUUUUGGAUGGACUCGCGGCCUAUCAGCUAGUUGGUUGGGGUAAUGGCCCACCAAGGCGACGACGGGUAGCCGGCCUGAGAGGGUGACCGGCCACACUGGGACUGAGACACGGCCCAGACUCCUACGGGAGGCAGCAGUGGGGAAUAUUGCACAAUGGGCGAAAGCCUGAUGCAGCGACGCCGCGUGAGGGACGAAGGCCUUCGGGUUGUAAACCUCUUUCAGCAGGGAAGAAGCGAAAGUGACGGUACCUGCAGAAGAAGCGCCGGCUAACUACGUGCCAGCAGCCGCGGUAAUACGUAGGGCGCAAGCGUUAUCCGGAAUUAUUGGGCGUAAAGAGCUCGUAGGCGGUUUGUCGCGUCUGCUGUGAAAGCCCGGGGCUCAACCCCGGGUCUGCAGUGGGUACCGGCAGACUAGAGUGCAAUAGGGGAGACUGGAAUUCCUGGUGUAGCGGUGAAAUGCGCAGAUAUCAGGAGGAACACCGA
Molecule: ribosomal RNA, 630 nt
Filed under: Arthrobacter sp. 255-12
Lineage: Bacteria; Bacillati; Actinomycetota; Actinomycetes; Micrococcales; Micrococcaceae
Description: SSU rRNA
Rfam family: Bacterial small subunit ribosomal RNA
Source: RNAcentral